Molecule: ribosomal RNA, 453 nt
Filed under: uncultured Porphyromonadaceae bacterium
Lineage: Bacteria; Pseudomonadati; Bacteroidota; Bacteroidia; Bacteroidales; Porphyromonadaceae
Description: partial 16S ribosomal RNA
Rfam family: Bacterial small subunit ribosomal RNA
Source: RNAcentral
ACGGGAGGCAGCAGUGAGGAAUAUUGGUCAAUGGGCGGAAGCCUGAACCAGCCAAGUCGCGUGCGGGACGAAGGCCCUACGGGUCGUAAACCGCUUUUGUACGGGAAUAAAAAACUCCACGCGUGGGGUCUUGUAGGUACCGUAAGAAUAAGGAUCGGCUAACUCCGUGCCAGCAGCCGCGGUAAUACGGAGGAUCCGAGCGUUAUCCGGAUUUAUUGGGUUUAAAGGGUGCGCAGGCGGCCCUGUAAGUCAGCGGUUAAAUCGUGGAGCUCAACUCCAUCCCGCCGUUGAUACUGCAGGGCUUGAUUGCGGUCGAGGUUGGCGGAAUUCGCCGUGUAGCGGUGAAAUGCAUAGAUAUGGCGAAGAACUCCGAUUGCGUAGGCAGCUGACCAGGCCGUAAAUGACGCUCAUGCACGAAAGUGCGGGGAUCGAACAGGAUUAGAUACCCUGGUA